This 496-nucleotide ribosomal RNA is filed under the name Ablaberoides sp. DA1054. Its description in RNAcentral is "partial 16S large subunit ribosomal RNA". It matches the Rfam family "Bacterial large subunit ribosomal RNA", at positions 1844 to 2600 of the family's 2925-position model. The record is from RNAcentral. Lineage: Eukaryota; Metazoa; Arthropoda; Insecta; Coleoptera; Scarabaeidae.
UUUAAGGUCUAAUCUGCCCAAUGAGAAGUUAAAUGGCCGCGGUACUUUGACCGUGCAAAGGUAGCAUAAUAAUUAGUUUUUUAAUUGAAAGCUGGAAUGAAUGAUUGGACGAGAAAAUUACUGUCUCAAGUUAAAUUAUAUUAGAAUUUUAUUUUUAAGUAAAAAAGCUUAAAUUUUUUUAAAAGACGAGAAGACCCUAUAGAGUUUUAUAUUAAAAUAAUUAUAGUUUUUUUAGUAUUUUUAUAUUUAUAAUUUUUUUAAUAUUUUAUUGGGGUGAUAGAAAAAUUAGAUUAACUUUUUUUAUAUUUUUACAUUAAUUUAUGAAUUUAUGAUCCAUUAUUUAUGAUUAUAAGAUUAAAUUACCUUAGGGAUAACAGCGUAAUUUUUUUUUAGAGUUCUUAUCGAAAAAAGAGAUUGCGACCUCGAUGUUGGAUUAAAAUAGAUUCUUGGUGUAGUAGCUAGGAUAUUAAGUCUGUUCGACUUUUAAAAUUUUACA